AUUGAACGCUAGCGGCAUGCUUAACACAUGCAAGUCGAGCGGCAGCGCGGGGAAACCUGGCGGCGAGCGGCGGACGGGUGAGUAAUCCGUAGGAAUCUGCCUUGUAAUGGGGGCCAACACGGGGAAACUCGGGCUAAUACCGCAUAAUCCCUACGGCGGAAAGUAGGGGACCUGCGGGCCUUUUGCUCUAAGAGGAGCCUGCGUCGGAUUAGCUAGUUGGUGGGGUAAAGGCCUACCAAGGCGACGAUCCGUAGCUGGUCUGAGAGGACGAUCAGCCACACUGGGACUGAGACACGGCCCAGACUCCUACGGGAGGCAGCAGUGGGGAAUAUUGGACAAUGGGGGAAACCCUGAUCCAGCAAUGCCGCGUGUGUGAAGAAGGCCUUCGGGUUGUAAAGCACUUUCAGUGGGGAAGAACUAAUUCAAGGUUAAUAACCCUGAGUCUUGACAUUACCUACAGAAGAAGCACCGGCAAACUCCGUGCCAGCCGCCGCCGUAA
This 499-nucleotide ribosomal RNA is filed under the name uncultured bacterium. RNAcentral's name for it is "partial 16S ribosomal RNA". It matches the Rfam family "Bacterial small subunit ribosomal RNA", at positions 30 to 523 of the family's 1533-position model. The record is from RNAcentral.